Dama dama (fallow deer) is the source of this 6916-nucleotide RNA transcript. It is a transcript of the gene named conserved oligomeric Golgi complex subunit 2-like, with no coding region annotated. Lineage: Eukaryota; Metazoa; Chordata; Mammalia; Artiodactyla; Cervidae. The transcript is spliced from 7 exons. The record is from RefSeq and is a predicted model, not a curated record.
CUGGCCGCGGUGAGGCUGCUGCCAUGUUGGCUCUCUGCGGGAGCAACUGGCUCUGGCUGCGGCUGCCCGGCCUGUACGCAUAGGAUCUUCCUCAUUCCCCUCACCCGCCGUUGGCGCUGAGAGGCGGCGUCCGGCGGGAUGGAGAAAAGUAGGAUGAACCUGCCCAAGGGGCCGGACACGCUGUGCUUCGACAAGGACGAGUUCAUGAAGGAAGACUUUGAUGUGGAUCACUUUAUGUCUGACUGUCGGAAGCGAGUCCAGCUGGAAGCACUUAGAGAUGACCUGGAGCUCUAUUAUAAGCUGCUUAAAACAGCGAUGGUUGAGCUCAUCAACAAGGACUACGCAGACUUUGUCAACCUGUCAACAAACCUGGUUAUUCCAUCAGUUGAGAAAAUUGAAAAAAUCUAAUUCUCAACAUUCUAAAGAAACAUCUACACUAGAAGCAAGCAGCGUAUAGCUGGUAUUGCAGCCAUGUUACAACAGUCACUGGAAGGCCUCCUAUUAGAAGGUCUUCAGACUUCCAGUGUCGAUAUUAUUCAGCACUGCUUACGGACUUAGGCCACAAUUGACAAGACACGGGAUGCAGAGGCGUCAGUUGGUCAAGUCCUCGUGAAACUGUACGUAGAUGAGGUUUGUGUACUGUUGAAUAAGGCCUUCAUUCAGCAGAUGUUCAUAGAGCAUCUUCUCUGUCUUGGAUGCUUUACUGGGUGUAAGGGGUAGUUUAGAGGCCUUUCUGUAAAGAUUCUCAGUUACUGUAGUACCAUCAGUUGGAAGAAAAGGUUGGUCCCUGGUGGUUACAACCAGCAUGCAGGAGUCAGGCACCUUCUCAGUAUUUUUUAGUGAUGCUGUAGCCCAGGGAUCAUGUUAAUUUAGUGGGAGGAGGGUCUUGCCUAGGGAGAAGGAAUGUAUCAGAACAUUUUUAGGUCAGUUUUAUGGUAUGUAAAUUAUUUGCCACUAAAUUCUUAAAAUGAAUUUUUAACUAUUGGUCUAGUGGGUAAAAUGGAACAAGUAAGCAGAUACCAAAGCCGCAGCAUAAGUUCCUGGUGAGGGAGCCUGCUGAAACCCUGACCAUGGAAAAUCUGUGCUGAAGGUUGUCUUCACAGAGAUGUGGCCUAAGUCUUGAAUACUGAGGAGUCUCUUAGCCAGGAAGGUGGGAGGGAGGAAAUAGUCACUGAUGCAGGACUUUCCUAGGCAAAUUAGCAGCGUAAUACCCUAAGUCCAAAACCUCACUAUCCAGUGUCCUUCAUCUCCAAGGAUGCAGUUACACUUUGGAAAGCAAGCAUAUUCUGCCUUUGAGCAGCCAGGAUGUAGACUGUACCAUAUGAAGUUGCCAAUACUCAACGUCUUCUGACACACAAAAGCAGCAGCUUCAUCUGGUUCAAACUGAUAAAAGUCACAAGCCCAUCCUCAGUGUUUGCAGACUCUUCAGUCCUCUGUCAGUGUGGGUGCUCUUUCUGUCCAGUAAGUACAAAGCCCUGUUCACCAUGACUUUGGGAUGAAAGCCUCCCAUUUAUAAAUGGGGGAAAUGGAAUCCCAUUGAUAACAAUGAAAUGUAAGGAUUAACUUCAGUAAUCCUUUCAGCUUUUAUUAGAGUUACUAAAAGUAAAUGAUCUGUCAGUUUCCUCUCUUCCUAUCCUGUUGUAUUUCUUACCUAACUUGAUAAGAAUGAAAAAGACAAAUUACCUACAUUAUUUCUGUCCCAGUAAGUGAAAAUCAUUACUAACUUAUGCCUUUGUUUUUCACUGAACUGAACCUAAUGUGCUAAAUGAGAGAAAUAUUUGAUGUUUCAGUGGCAUAUUAAAUAAACCAAGGCCACAUUUUAAUUUUUUUUAAAUUUGUAUGCUUAUCUUGUCAUUAGCCUCUUGACUCUCAACCUUAACACAAAAGAUAAAAUAAUUAAGUAAAAUAAAAUAUAUAUUUACAUCUUCCUCUGUCUCACGCCUUCCCCUGAUCUGAAUUAUGGUAGAAGAAAAGGCCGAGGUCAGUACAGGGAGGGGCUGUUGUUAUGGGAAAGUGUCAUUUUAUUUUGUUUUCAGUCUCGGGAGGGGAGGAGGCAAAUGUGCUUGGCUUUCCAGCUUCAGGCCAGUCUCUGUCACCCACCUGUGUUUCCCCUGGGUCAGAGCUGUGCUUCCAAAUCCUGAAACUCAUUCUGAGUAUAGCUGUUACUGUUAGAAAACAUGUUAGCUGGGGAGGAGGAGGCAUGAGGAAGCAUACUUUUGAGGUUUUCUCUAUUUUCCCUGUAGUGUGUAAUUCAUACCUCUCUUUGAGAUGCUUUUUUUAAAUACUAUUCGUUUCAUAGGUGAUUCUAGAGCAGAUUGUUGAUAGUCGUCUGAGUGAUCUCCAGCUCAUGUAUGAUAAACUCUUGGAGUUCGUUCCCCAUCACUGCCGCCUUCUUCGAGAGGUCACAGGAGGAGCCAUCUCAAGAAAUAUACCAUAAGUAUGGAUUUUGUAAGAACAUUUGAACGGCAGUGUGGAUCACAGGCCAGUAUAAAAAGAUUAAGAGCACAUCCUGCCUAUCACAGCUUCAGUAAUAAGUGGAACUUGCCUGUUUAUUUUCAAAUAAGUUACUAUUUUAAUGGUUGAACAGUGCACCUCAAAAGUUCUGUCAUCAAUACACAGUGAAUGGACUCCAGUGAUGAAGGCUCCAGAGAGAUGGCACACUAUUUUUGAGUGAAAGUUUGUGAUGGAGUGUCUCCAAAUUGGAGGAGAAGAGGAUACGGGCUAGGGGAUAUAGGCAGGAUUUAGAGAAAUAGCAGGAUCCUUAGAGGCAGCACUUACAGAUGUCCUGGAAGAUGCACAAGGUAACAUCCUCAAAGUGACAGAGGCUAUCUUUAAGCGGGCUAAUUCCUUUCACCAAGUCUUCUUGGUGGCCUUAGCGCCCUGGGAGCACUUUGACCUUUUGCUCUCUUCCAGUAGUGUUACUUGCUCAGUUGUGUCCAACUCUUUGCAACCUCAUAGAUUGUAGCCUAUCAGGCUCCUCUGUCCAUGAAAUUCUCCAAGCAAGAUUACUGGAGUGGGUAGCCAUUCCUGACCCAGGGAUCAAACCCAGGUCUCCUGCACUGCAUGCAGAUGAUUUACCGUCAGGGCCACCAGGGAAGUAAGUUAGACCCUGAAGAUAAUAGUUUAAGUUCUUUUUUUAAAAACGGUUUCUAGAGCUUCCGGCUGUAUAGAGACGAUGUAAAGGAUGCUUUAAGAACACAGGAAGGAGACCACAUUUUCGCUUCUGAAUAUAAUGUGUCAAGGGGAUAUAACCCCUGCUGUGCUUAAGUGACAGCCUUUUUUUGUAGCCUUGUGGCUACCCUCCACUUCCCUCUCAAGCUGAGGGAAAGGAUCAGAAUGUCCCUUCCCUCCAGAGAAUGACUCUCAGCUCAGACUGCUGCCUCAGGCCUCCAGAGCCCUUGGCCCAGUCCUGGGUCAGUGGGCGGGUGGCUGGGGUCAGCCUACGCUUUCCAGACGUGUUUGCAGCUAGUCAUGCUUUAGACGUCCCUGGUGCCUGCUCACCUAGAUGGCUGUUCCUGUAGCCACAAAGCUCCACUCCACUGUGCUCCCUUUUGUGCGGCCAAGUUCCAUCUAAACUGCACUCUUCUAGCCUCAGAAGUUUAUUUUCAGCUGUCUUUGCAAAAAUAGCCAUGUGUAAUUGACUUCCUAUAUUUAAAUAGCAUAUUCAGGAGUGGAAAAGAAGACAGGACAAAUUCAAAACCAAAGAUUAAACCCUUGCAAGUGACUGCCACUCCAAUUCGCAUUUGUUGCUUUAUUAUAAAGUACCUGUUAACUGAUUAUUUCUGAUUGUUAUAUAUGUUUAAUAUGCAUCAAAUACCUGGGAGAAGGAGUCAUGUAAAAUUAGAAAACAGCGUUUAAAGGCCUCUUGGCUGUCCACUUCACCUCCCUAAAUCUCUGCCGACUUCAUAGGAUUCUUCAGAAUGUCAUUGGCUUCACUCUUGGCUUGUCUGUUGAAGAUUUUAGCUGUUAGCCCUUCCGCUGCGACUCCUUAACUGCAUUUUUACCUCUAGCUGGGAGCUCGUAUCGUCUUUUGGCUUCUCAUAGGACGUGGAGCAGCCUUCAGAGGUGCUGGCCUGACAAGAUGUUUUUGCCGCUGCUGGUGCAUCAUCUGUGGAGCCUGACACUGCAGAUUCUGGCGCGGUUCUCCAUGUUUAUCAAGGAGGUGAGGGCUGGCUGGUGCUCAUCCCUAAUCAAGACUGAAAUGAAUUAAAGAUAGGUUAAGCUAAACGUGCCAAGAUUUUUAAAGCCCAUGUGGUCAUGAGAGGUUGAUGCAAGGGCUAUAGUCCAACUUCCCAAGUUUCUAUCGGUUUCACUGGAUUUCCUUUUCACUCUUGUUUAUGUGACCUUUAGGGGCAUCAGUUGUCACAUAUUCAUUGCUUUGUCCUUUUGAAAAGCACCACGUUGACCUCAUUUUCCCUUAGGAAAACCAGAAUCUUUGUAUGGUGCCUCCAAUACAGAGGCACCAUAAAACAGAGAUGAUCAUUUUAAUGAAGAUGAUAAAAAUAUGCAUAUUUUUCCUUAAUAUUUGGAAAUUGAAAAACACCAAAUGGCUGAGAUUAGAAGGUCGUAAAGUUGAUUAACCUUCCGUUUGUUUCAGAAACCCUUUUCAGCUUGGCUGUAUUAGGUAUUCACAUGUCUAUGAUGACUGAUUAGUUUUUGUGCAUAAAGCCACAGGAGCAUUCAUGUGGUCCAGUGCUGAGCACCCGGCCCCACCAGGUCCGCUCCAGGUCUCAGAGAUGCCUGCUGCACAGACAGCUCAGUGAUAGACACACACCCCGGCCAGUGCAAGGUGAUGAGUAUAAGAGAGCGUGAGCGGAAGUGUAGGAAAGACGACAUGGAGAAGCCAUCAUCCAUGGACACGGAAGCACUCUGUCAACUGGAGGAGAGUGUUUCAGCACAGGCUUCAAGUCAAAGUCAGACCUUGGCCCUGCUGCUCUUUAAUUUUGUGGUCUUAGGGAAAUUGGCUGAAUCUCAGAUUCUUUGUCUGUAAAAUAGGAACACAGCUUCUACAUGUGCUUGUUGUGAGGUGAGGAGUAAAGAGAUUUCUUGCCUAGCAAACUGAUAAUGAAGGUGCCCAGCAGAUAAUGGUGCUCCAUCCAAGUUCCUCUCCUCUUCCUCCUUUGCCUCCCUCUACUCAGAGGAGUCUCAGUAGAGCACCCUGCCCUAUGAACCUGUUCAUGAAGAUUGUGCAGUUCCUGGGACACCAUGGACUUGAUAUGACUCUCUGAGGCCUGGGCUUGCUUCAUCAUCCCCAGCAAGAUGCCAGCCAGUGAUUAUUCUUACACCUAGUAUAUUCCAUUCUUUUCUCGAUGCAAGUGCUCCUCUUAGGUUUUUUUUCCCUUGUAGCAGUCCAUUAUGCAGAGAACACUUAUGUCGUUUGUAUUAUUUGAAGCAUAAUUGAGGUUGAGACUUUUUUUUAUCCUUAUGAUGAUAAUUUAUUAAGUAAAUACAGUAAAUUGUUUACCUUAAGCAGCUAAUUAGCUUUUUAAAACCUAUGAUAUUCCGGAUCUUAAUUUUCCUUUAGUUUCGGGACCUCUUGCUUGCUUUCUGUUACUUAAGUCAAGGAGGUGAAAGUCACAUAGGGUGAAAGCUUGUCCUGUUUGUGUUUUUCACACCUACCUGGAGAGACAGGAUGUGGUCUCCUUUCUUGAGUUAACUUUCACUUAAUAGUUUGUAGACAGCUGGCAUUUUGUGUUGAGUUACAUGCUCAUGUAUCUUGCAGGUGGAAACAUUUUAUGGCUGAAAUCCUUUUUCAGCUCUUACUCGGGCCCAUCUCUAAUGAAAGUGCUAAGGAUAUUAAAAAGCCUUUGGUAACUGGCAGCAAAGAUCUUUCUAUCACCCAAGGCCAUCGCGAAGACCAAGCAAGUGGCCCUUCUGAAACAAAGCCCAUCGUCUCCAUUUCCAGCACUCCACUUGUCUAUGUGGUCACAGACCUGGACAGGCUUCAGGGGCAGUGAGCCUGUGUCACAGAGGAUUCUAAGUGUGGGGUUCAGUGUUCUCACUGUCCAGCCUCAUGGGGUUUAGACUUGUGGGUCCAGGGCCCCUGAGAGAGAGCACCCUUUCCCUCCCUCUGGUGUUGCCUCCACCUCCGACUGGCAUGCUGUCCUCCUUGGGGAGCAGCCUGUCUACCGCAUGCCUGCCUGGAGCCCCGGCUUCCCCUGAGUAGUGACGCCACAGGCCAGGGCAAGCCAGGCCCUCAUUAGCUCAGCUCACUCUGUGGAGCCAUGGUCUUUAAUGGGUUGGAUUCUAAUUGUUUCUAGUCUACUUACCCAGUACUUAUACUUUAAAAGUGCUGAGCUAUUAAAACGUCUUCCUGUUUCCUCCACAUAGGUUUCAUGUUCUUGCUUUUACCAUUAACAGAACUUUGUUUAAGAACAGAAUGUGUUUAAGUGUUCUGAUACAUAAUUCUGCUUUUUUCAGGUUUAAGUGUUUUGUGGUGCUUGGACAAAUACUGUAUGUGUUGAGCAAAAACAUGGUCUUCAUCAUAAGGUUCUCUUGGUAUUGAGGGGAGCUACAGAAUAGUGUUGAUAGCUGUGAAAAUACGAUUUUCCGUGUUGUUGAAUUAUCUUCUACUGAAAGCAUUAAUUAAGAAUUUUGUUUUCUUCUGAUGCAAGUUACUGAAAGUUUCAAGUUUAGCUUUAUCAUUGAUAACAUUCUAGAACUGUAGGUGCAUAUAGAAUUGUCUCUUCCUUUGAUUAAUAAAAAGUAACUGAAUAUAUAAAGUGCAUACUUAUUUCAGCUUAGAAAGCAUGAGAGGGCUUAUGAGAGCAUGGGAGGACAUGCAAGAAUUUGUGAUGCCAUUCGAGGGUGUGCAAGGAUGUGUGAGGCUGUGUGAGACUGGGUGAGCAAGUGCAACAGUGCAACACUUUGCAAAGCUGUGCAAAAGUGUGCGAGGGUGUGUGAGAGUGUGAGAUGG